Molecule: long non-coding RNA, 4948 nt
Organism: Callithrix jacchus (white-tufted-ear marmoset)
Lineage: Eukaryota; Metazoa; Chordata; Mammalia; Primates; Cebidae
Source: RefSeq, a predicted model, not a curated record
AGGGGUGUUGGCAGGAUUUUCCACCCUUCCUUCCUCCCUCCUCUCUUUAUUCCCCUCUCCUUUCUUUUCUUACUCAAUCUUAACUGAAGCUGAUAACUGUUAGGAUAUUGACCCUGUGUACCCAAGUCCAGGAACUCCUACUCUGACUCAUAUGAUGUCAUUCCCUAUAGUGCUUACAUCUUUGUCAUCCUCACCAAGCGGGUCCUUCUCCGGAAAGCAUUUUGGUGUCACCAUUUUCAAGACCCCGGCAGAGAUUGAUGGCUUCCAGUAGGCUGAUCCAUCAUCCGAGGCAGCUGGCACCCUAUCGGAAUUUCAGGAAUCUGUUCCCAAUCACAUUCACUGUUGGGUGACUCAGUAACGACCCUAUUUGCGGCAGUGACUGAGUCACCUGUAACGUCUAGCACCAAGAAUGAUACUUAGCAUGUAAUCACUGCUGAAUAAAGAGCUGUGGAUGAAUGAAUUAGCAAGUGAAUGGGUACCUGAAUUAGAUGCAUGGAAAAGCCAUAAGGGAGGCAACUGUAUUUUUCUGUUGUGUGGAAGCUGCCUGUAGCAUUCAUUUGCUUGGAAGUCUGUGUGUGGGGUGUAGGUGUGUGUGUGUGUGUGUGUGCAUGCGCUCUAACUUUCCUUUAUCCAGCUUUCCCACCUGCAUCAAUAAUUCUAUCUGGUGACAUCACUUCUCUGGAAGGCUUUAACUGUCUCAUCUCCUGCUUGGGAUAAUCAUCUGAGCUGACAGUUUCACUGUUUCUACAAAUUGGGGUUCCCCAGUUUCCUUUUUAUUUGACAAUCUGGUUAUGCCUGUAUUCCAAGUCAUAUUUAUUCCAGCAUCCUCUCAUGCCUUCAUUAUUCAAGCAUUUAUUAGCACAUAUGGUGUUUCAGGAACUACGCCAGGCACUUGGAAGAUCAAGUCUAAGAAAUGUUUCCUUUCCUGAAGUUGCUCAGCCUGUAGAGGUCUGGAGGUAGGCAAUAAAACAUGUAAAGGGAUAACUUUAAAUAAAUCAUGAUUAGAAAUACAAUGGAUAAACUGAACAACACAUGAGGUGGAUUAUAUGGGUGGAUAGAGCAAUUUGGGAUGACUUUUUACUAAAUAUAACAUCACAGCUGAGCCUGGGUAUCCAAUGAGAAGGGACAUUUAUGAUGCAGAAGAGUAAUGGAGUAUGUCAGACAAGAAAACCACGUUUACAGAACCAAGAAGAUGGAAAAGAGGAAGACAGGCUUGAGAAAUGAAGCUAGUUAUGUUGGGCAAAGAUUGACAGGUGGGGGAAGAAAAUAAGGUGAAAAGAGUAGAUCAACCCUCAUGCAUAAAGAGUCAUAUUUUCAUUCACAAGAUUUUAGGAUUAAACUUGCAGACAAUAGAAAGCCUUCAGCCAUUUUAGCUUUCUCCGUUACUCUAUAAGAUGUGUACAAACAAAUGUGCAGCAAAAUGAGAACAUGCCUGGUACAACUCUUAAACCAAAAAUCAGGACACAGGCAGCACCCACAGCCCCCAGCAUAUGCCCAUUUGCAGUUGAGACAUGAGACAGCCACAGUUACCACGAUCUUAUUUUGAAUAGCACAGAUUAACUUUCUCAGUUCUGUACUCCAUGUAAGCGGGAUUAUAUAGUGUGUACUAUGUUGAUUAGAUUCAUAAUAUUGUUCUGUAUAGCGGUAGGUCACUUCUUUUUCUUGCUGCUCAGUAUUUGAUUAUGGAAAUAUACCACAACUUUAAAAUGUAUUCUAAUUUCACUGUGUAUUUUAUGUCAUUACCAUUUUGGAAUUAUGACAAAUAGUGCUGCCAGAAACAUGCUAUUAAGUGUCUUUUGGUGAAUAUAUGUACACAUUUUAGUAAAGUAUAUGUCCAAGGGUAGAGCUUCACUAAAUUAUACCAAAUUUGUUGUCUAAGUAUGGUUGUUCUCAUAUGUUUUGUAGUCAUAGAAUAGGUUUCUGGUUAUUCUACAUACUCAACACAUGCACCAUUCUUUAUUCAAUUAAUGAUCAUGUUUUCCAUUAGAAUCUAAGUUUUGUGAGGGUUAAGAUCACAGGAGCCUUUUUGUAUCUUUGCAUCUUUGGGGCUAGCAUCAUGUUUGCCACAUGAUGGGAGAUACAUGCACGCACACACACACACAUCACCUCCCUAAACAAAUGCACAAAUGUCUGCAUUCUUUUCCAUGUCAUAUUUACUCCAGCAUCUUCUACGUAUUUAUUAUUCAAGCUCUUAUUUGCACAUACGAUUUGUCAGGAACGAUGCCGGGCGCUUGAACGAUAAAGAAGCCUAAGAGGAGACGUCUUCCCUGUGGUUGCUUUCUCAUCUAGAACAUAGACAUUUGUUCCUGGUAGAUAUAGAUUAUAUUUGCUUCAGAUUCUUCUGAUUAGACAGAAGCAGUAUCAUAUUCUAUAUUCUUAACUAUUAAAUCUGUUAUUGAGGAUGAAAAUGGAUAAUUACAGGUGAUAUUACAAAUUAAUUUCUAUGUUCUGCCAAAAUACUCAGCAAAUUUGGUAAUUCAAUCCAAAAAGUAAUUAACAGAAUGAGGAAGACAAUUUUUAAAAUUCCAAUAACCCUACUGUAGCUAAGGGGCUUAGUGGGAUGAAGGGUGGUUUAGAAAAAAAGAUCCCAUUCAGGAGACUGUUGUCCAUGUCCACCUCCUUUAGAGAUGUUUCUGAAUUGCCUUAAAUAGAGCCUAUGUCUGCUUUUGAGAAUUAGUGGCAGGAAAAAAUGUCAGAGGAAAAACAUAUAAGUAAUACAGCUCAGUGCUUUCACAGGAUCUUAUCCCAACUCCGCAUUCACAAUCAUCAAUUAAAGAGCUGGCUCUCUUUCCACUGAUUAAUUUCCACUUGGCCAUUGUUAAUAACAAGGCUGGAGAAAUGUAUUUACACAGGGCAAACUGGAAUGAAAAACACACCAGACAUGCAUAAGUCAUCAUUUAAACAGCAUCAAAAGUGAGAGGGUGGCUAUAUUAAGCCCAAGCCCUCUGGCUUCCUCCCUGAAGCUUGCUUGCCCAUGGAGAAACCCAAUCAUAUUAUAUUCAUGGUAAUGAAUGAUGAUGACACAGGUACAGACUUGGAAUUAAAAGCAGCUUAGUGAUAUAUCAGUUUAUGCCUUACCGUUCUUUAGAUAGGAUUAUUUAUUGCCGAGGAAAAAAAUCACCCCAAAACUUGGUUGCUUAAAAAAGCAAUAUUCAUUGAUUAUCUCUCAGAGUCUCUGUGGGUCAGAAAUUCAGGAGUGGCUGUGCAGUUCCAGCUCAAUGUAUCUUCAUGAAAUUGAAGUUAAAUGGUGGCUAGGAUUGGGAUCACCUGAAAGGCUUUCUGGCUUUCACAUCUGAGGCCUGGGCUGCAAAGACUUGAACAGAGGGAGGCUAGAGCAGGUUGGCUCCCCAGGAAUCUCUAGACUUACCCAAAUUCAAGAGGAAGAAACAUAGAUCUCAAUUGUAGAUGAAGGUGUUAGCAUUACAUUGCAGGAAAAGCAUAUGGGACUACUAUGAUCAUUUUUGGCAAAUACUGUCUGCCACUAACUCAUCACUGCAAUGUUGGGAGCACACCUCCUAUUUUCCUUGGCCAUUUCCAGGCCAAUGGGGAACAGCUGAAUUAGGAUCUGAAAAAAGAUGUCUAUUCACUGAUGGGCCAGCUGUCUUGGGCAGCCACUCUCAGAUUACUGAGUCCAUAUUGCCUCUUCAUGCAGAAUCAAAAACCUGUCCUCCUCUGGCUUUUAUCUACACAAAUUUGGUGCUAGCACCCUGUUAUGGACUAAAUGCUUAUGUUCCCCAACUCAUAUGUUGAAACUCUAACCCGAAAUGUGGUGGUAUUUGGAAUCAAAGACUUCGGGAGGUAAAUAGGUUGAGAUUAGGCUAUAGGGGUGUGACUCUCAUAAGGAGAUUAGUGGUGCCCUGAUAAUAGGAAGGGAAAGAACUUGCUUUCUCCACACUCAUUCACAGAGGAAAGGCCACGUAAGCACACAAGGGGACAGAAUGGGGCCUUCACCACGAACAGAAUCUGGGGUCACCUUGAUCUCAGACUUUCCAGCCUCCAGAACUGUAAGAAAUAAAUAAUGGGUUCACAGGUUGUUCAAACCACUCGGUCUCUGGUAUUUUGUUAUAACCACUAGAGCUGACUGAGACACACCUGUACCGUGCUUUAUCUCUGUAAGCCUAUAUACAUGUUGACUAUAUGAACCAAUGGAUCACUCAAUUAAUUAAUACUAUCUAUAUUAAUUUCCUUUGGCUGUCAACAACCAAAAACCAUAAACUGGGUGGCUUAAACAAUAGAAACUUACUUUCUCACAGCUUUGGAGGCUGGAAGUUCAAGAUCAAUGUGUCUGCAGGGCUGGUUUCCACUGAGGCCACUCUCCCAGGCUUGCUGCCUCUUCACACGGUCACCCCUCUGUGCUGUGUGCUCCUGAAAUCUCUCCCACUUCUUACAAGGACACAGCCACAUUAGAGCCCACCCUGAGGGCCUCAUUUUAACCUAAUCAGUUAUUAAAGGUCUUAUUUCUGAAUAUAGUUACAUUAGGAUGUAUUAUGGGUUGAAAUGUUAACAUACACGUCUUUGUUUUUGAAGAAGGGCCCGAUUCAGCCCAUAACACAGUCUAAUAAACCAAAAGGUAAGACUGCUCCUUUAUUCACAUGACUAUCUUGAAAAUGCGUGAAAACAGUUGAUCAAAUUGCUCCCCCUCAACUCCCUGUUCUCUAAGUUCAAAUCAAGGCCCUCGGCACCACUGACCUCCCCUGAAACGAGAGCACCCACCAUUUCAUCCAGGACCCAGACUUGGGUAGAAUAAAGCAAGGCUGUCAUUCCCCUGCCUUUGAAACUCUAUUUCGUAUAAAGCACUUUACUAAUAGUUUCCUAGUUUUGUUUCUCAUUAUCUUUCAUGAAAACUUAAUUGUCCUUAAGCAUACCAGUAUUUUUAUAAUUACAUUAUUUCAGAUUUACAGCCAUUAGGUGAAUUCAAUAUUGUUAUACCCAUGUUAUAGGUAUAGAU